GCUACACUUAGUGACUCUGAGGGACAUGCAACCCUCCCCGCAUGCUGCUGCUGCUGCUGCACCUACAAUCCUGCCACCCCCAAUGAGAUCUGCCCACCCCUCUUGGCCGCCUUCCCCACGCUCAGGUUUUCCUCACUCUUUCCCUGGGUUCCACGCGCCCGCGUAGCCCGAACUCCGACCCUGAGGCUCCGCGUCCCGGCCCCCAUCGCAGGGGCGCCUCUAGGAACCAGAAUCCCGCAGAUGACUGCACAGACAAGAUCGUGCCCCCAAGUUCGGCGAGCCGGGCGCCCACCGCGCCCCCAGCCCACGCCCCCGGAGUUCCUGCGCCACCCACAGCGGCCCUGAGCUUCAAUCUGCACUUUCAAAACUUCCCAGUUGCCUCCAGAGCCCUGCAGUUGAAGAUCUUGUCUAGCACAUGGUUUUGCUGUUUUCCUCACCCCGAACUCCCUCCUUGGAGGGCCAUCGUUCUCUGUCUCAGAUUCCACCCUCCUUAUCACACAACUAGAGCUUCGGAGGAACGUGAUGGGGCUCCCAACUAAGGAGGGAAAGACCAUCAUAGCUCAGGGAUGAGGCUCCGAGAUCCUCAGAUAACAUUAAUUGUCCUCUGUCUUCUCUUGACUUGGCACAUCCUUGCUUGGAGCAGGGCAGGAGCAGCUGAAAGGGAGGUGGCACCUGGAGGUCUCAGUCAUUUCACUUCUCUGAGCCUCAGUUUUCCCAUAUGCAAAGUGAAGAGGUACACUCCCUCAGGGUUUUGCAUCUUCUUAAUGGCAGAAACCUAGUCAAACAAAAUAUUAUGUAAAUGUUCACUAUAGGCAGGGCGAGGUGGCUCAAACCUGUAAUUCCAGCACUUUUAGAGGCCCAGGAGGCUCUUGAGGUCAGGAGUUCGAGACCAGCC
Molecule: long non-coding RNA, 895 nt
Filed under: Homo sapiens (human)
Lineage: Eukaryota; Metazoa; Chordata; Mammalia; Primates; Hominidae
Description: HSALNT0311271
Source: RNAcentral